Molecule: unclassified non-coding RNA, 213 nt
Filed under: plant metagenome
Description: partial contains small subunit ribosomal RNA, internal transcribed spacer 1, and 5.8S ribosomal RNA
Source: RNAcentral
UUUCCGUAGUGAACCUGCGGAAGGAUCAUUCAUAAUAAGUGUUUUAUGGCACUUUUUUAAAUCCAUAUCCACCUUGUGUGCAAUGUCAGGGUUGAUUUUUCUCUCGAGAGGAUCAGCCCCAAACAUCAACUAUUAUCUCAACUCUUUGUCUGAAAAAUAUUAUGAAUAAAACAAUUCAAAAUACAACUUUCAACAACGGAUCUCUUGGCUCUC